AGGUUUGGAAAGACCCACCACAGAAGGUAAUAGUCCUGUAUGUUAAACGAGAAGACUUCAGAUAUGAUCCAGAGUACCACGGGACACGUGAAACCCUGUGGGAAGCAGGAGGGACCACCCUCCAAGGCUAAAUACUACCUAGUGACCGAUAGCGUAUAGUACCGUGAGGGAAAGGUGAAAAGAACCCCGGGAGGGGAGUGAAAUAGAACCUGAAACCCUGCACUUACAAGCUGUGGAAGCACAUUUCUUGUGUGACCGCGUACUUUUUGUAGAACGGGCCAACGAGUUACGUUAAGUAGCAAGGUUAAGCACUUAAGGUGCGGAGCCGUAGCGAAAGCGAGUUUUAACUGAGCGUUCAGUUACUUGACGUAGACCCGAAACCGGGCGACCUACCCAUGAGCAGGAUGAAGCGAAAGUAAAAUUUCGUGGAGGUCCGAACCCACGAGCGUUGAAAAGCUCGGGGAUGACUUGUGGGUAGCGGUGAAAUUCCAAUCGAGCCCGGAGAUAGCUGGUUCUCCCCGAAAUAGCUUUAGGGCUAGCCUCAAGGUGAGAGAUACGGAGGUAGAGCACUGAAUGUCCUAGGGGGUAUUGCACCUACCGAAGACUAUCAAACUCCGAAUGCCGUCAUCUUAUACUUGGGAGUCAGACUGUGGGUGAUAAGAUUCAUAGUCGAAAGGGCAACAGCCCAGAUCGUCAGCUAAGGUCCCUAAAUGUAAGUUAAGUGGUAAAGGAUGUGGGAUUGCACAGACAACCAGGAUGUUGGCUUAGAAGCAGCCACUCAUUCAAAGAGUGCGUAAUAGCUCACUGGUCGAGUGAUCCUGCGCCGAAGAUUUCCGGGGCUAAAACUU
This 848-nucleotide ribosomal RNA is filed under the name Clostridioides difficile. Its description in RNAcentral is "partial 23S ribosomal RNA". It matches the Rfam family "Bacterial large subunit ribosomal RNA", at positions 338 to 1189 of the family's 2925-position model. The record is from RNAcentral. Lineage: Bacteria; Bacillati; Bacillota; Clostridia; Peptostreptococcales; Peptostreptococcaceae.